RNAcentral lists this ribosomal RNA (2520 nucleotides) under Vibrio sp. 99-8-1. Its description in RNAcentral is "partial 23S ribosomal RNA". It matches the Rfam family "Bacterial large subunit ribosomal RNA". The record is from RNAcentral. Lineage: Bacteria; Pseudomonadati; Pseudomonadota; Gammaproteobacteria; Vibrionales; Vibrionaceae.
GCAAACCCGGGGAACUGAAACAUCUAAGUACCCGGAGGAGUAGAAAUCAACCGAGAUUCCGAAAGUAGCGGCGAGCGAAAUUGGAUUAGCCCUUAAGCUUUUAGUGCGUCAGGUGAAGAGUCUGGAAAGUCUCGCAAUAAAGGGUGAUAGCCCCGUAACCGACAACGUACAAUCAGUGAAAUCGAGUAGGGCGGGACACGUGAUAUCCUGUCUGAAUAUGGGGGGACCAUCCUCCAAGGCUAAAUACUACUGACUGACCGAUAGUGAACCAGUACCGUGAGGGAAAGGCGAAAAGAACCCCUGUGAGGGGAGUGAAAUAGAACCUGAAACCGUGUACGUACAAGCAGUAGGAGCCUCCUUUGUGGGGUGACUGCGUACCUUUUGUAUAAUGGGUCAGCGACUUAUAUUUAGUAGCAAGGUUAACCGAUUAGGGGAGCCGUAGGGAAACCGAGUCUUAACUGGGCGUCGAGUUGCUAGGUAUAGACCCGAAACCAGGUGAUCUAGCCAUGGGCAGGUUGAAGGUUGAGUAACAUCAACUGGAGGACCGAACCGACUAAUGUUGAAAAAUUAGCGGAUGACUUGUGGCUAGGGGUGAAAGGCCAAUCAAACCUGGAGAUAGCUGGUUCUCCCCGAAAGCUAUUUAGGUAGCGCCUCGGACGAAUACUACUGGGGGUAGAGCACUGUUAAGGCUAGGGGGUCAUCCCGACUUACCAACCCUUUGCAAACUCCGAAUACCAGUAAGUACUAUCCGGGAGACACACGGCGGGUGCUAACGUCCGUCGUGGAGAGGGAAACAACCCAGACCGCCAGCUAAGGUCCCAAAGUAUAGCUAAGUGGGAAACGAUGUGGGAAGGCUCAGACAGCCAGGAUGUUGGCUUAGAAGCAGCCAUCAUUUAAAGAAAGCGUAAUAGCUCACUGGUCGAGUCGGCCUGCGCGGAAGAUGUAACGGGGCUAAGCUAUACACCGAAGCUGCGGCAAUACGGGUUAAUAUUCCCGUACUUCUUACAAUUGCGAUGGGGGGACGGAGAAGGCUAGGUGGGCCUGGCGACGGUUGUCCAGGUUCAAGGGUGUAGGCUGAUUUCUUAGGUAAAUCCGGGAAAUCAUUAAGGCUGAGACCCGAUGUCGAGCGCCCAAGGGCGUGAAGUCAUUGAUGCCAUGCUUCCAGGAAAAGCCUCUAAGCUUCAGAUUGUAAGAAAUCGUACCCCAAACCGACACAGGUGGUCGGGUAGAGAAUACCAAGGCGCUUGAGAGAACUCGGGUGAAGGAACUAGGCAAAAUGGUACCGUAACUUCGGGAGAAGGUACGCUUCUGACGGUGAAGUCCCUCGCGGAUGGAGCUAUCGGAAGUCGCAGAUACCAGGUGGCUGCAACUGUUUAUUAAAAACACAGCACUGUGCAAAAUCGCAAGAUGACGUAUACGGUGUGACGCCUGCCCGGUGCCGGAAGGUUAAUUGAUGGGGUUAGACUUAGGUCGAAGCUCUUGAUCGAAGCCCCGGUAAACGGCGGCCGUAACUAUAACGGUCCUAAGGUAGCGAAAUUCCUUGUCGGGUAAGUUCCGACCUGCACGAAUGGCGUAAUGAUGGCCACGCUGUCUCCACCCGAGACUCAGUGAAAUUGAAAUCGCUGUGAAGAUGCAGUGUACCCGCGGCUAGACGGAAAGACCCCGUGAACCUUUACUACAGCUUGGCACUGAACAUUGACCCUACAUGUGUAGGAUAGGUGGGAGACUUUGAAACUUCGUCGCUAGAUGGAGUGGAGUCAACCUUGAAAUACCACCCUUGUAGUGUUGAUGUUCUAACUUAGUCCCCUAAUCGGGGAUGAGGACAGUGCCUGGUGGGUAGUUUGACUGGGGCGGUCUCCUCCCAAAGAGUAACGGAGGAGCACGAAGGUGGGCUAAACACGGUUGGACAUCGUGUGGUUAGUGCAAUGGCAUAAGCCCGCUUGACUGCGAGAAUGACAAUUCGAGCAGGUGCGAAAGCAGGUCAUAGUGAUCCGGUGGUUCUGAAUGGAAGGGCCAUCGCUCAACGGAUAAAAGGUACUCCGGGGAUAACAGGCUGAUACCGCCCAAGAGUUCAUAUCGACGGCGGUGUUUGGCACCUCGAUGUCGGCUCAUCACAUCCUGGGGCUGAAGUCGGUCCCAAGGGUAUGGCUGUUCGCCAUUUAAAGUGGUACGCGAGCUGGGUUUAGAACGUCGUGAGACAGUUCGGUCCCUAUCUGCCGUGGGCGUUGGAGAAUUGAAAGGGGCUGCUCCUAGUACGAGAGGACCGGAGUGGACGAACCUCUGGUGUUCGGGUUGUCAUGCCAAUGGCAUUGCCCGGUAGCUAAGUUCGGAAUCGAUAAGCGCUGAAAGCAUCUAAGCGCGAAGCGAGCCUUGAGAUGAGUUCUCCCUGAUACUUUAAGUAUCCUAAAGGGUUGUCGUAGACUACGACGUUGAUAGGCAGGGUGUGUAAGCGUUGUGAGGCGUUGAGCUAACCUGUACUAAUUGCCCGUGAGGCUUAACCAUACAACACCCAAGGGGUUU